GAUGAAGAACGUAGCGAAAUGCGAUAAGUAAUGUGAAUUGCAGAAUUCCGUGAAUCAUCGAAUCUUUGAACGCACAUUGCGCCCCCUGGUAUUCCGGUGGGCAUGCCUGUCCGAGCGUCAUUGCAACCCUCAAGCGCGGCUUGUGUGUUGGGCUUCGUCCCCCCGUGGACGUGCCCGAAAGGCAGUGGCGGCGUCCCGAAUGGUGCCCGAGCGUAUGGGAACUCUCUUCCGCUCGAACCGGCCCAUUCGGCGCUGGUCGAACCCCAAUUUUUUUUUACCGGUUGACCUCGGAUCAGGUAGGGAUACCCGCUGAACUUAAGCAUAUCAAUAAGCGGAGGA
RNAcentral lists this unclassified non-coding RNA (339 nucleotides) under soil metagenome. Its description in RNAcentral is "partial contains 5.8S ribosomal RNA, internal transcribed spacer 2, and large subunit ribosomal RNA". The stretch from base 1 to 120 matches the Rfam family "5.8S ribosomal RNA", at positions 35 to 154 of the family's 154-position model. The record is from RNAcentral.